UUUUUUUUUUUUUUUUUUUUUUAAUUCCCUUAUUAAUCAAAUGGUUUGCAGAAUCUUAUACAGUUUGGAUUUUAUGAUAAGAUAUCAUUGACAGCAUCGGGGUUUAGAAAAUAAAAAUAAUUCUUAGAAAUCAACAAUCGCCGCCGAUGAAUUGCGUGGGUAGAUGUCACACUCUUACGCUAGACUUUCUCAAUAAAAGCAAAGGAAACAGUAUCUGUGGUGGAGGAAGUCAGGUCGGCCCCCAGGCAGAGAGACACAGACUACGGUAAAAAAGCGCCCAAUUUCAU
RNAcentral lists this unclassified non-coding RNA (287 nucleotides) under Hevea brasiliensis (rubber tree). The record is from RNAcentral. Lineage: Eukaryota; Viridiplantae; Streptophyta; Magnoliopsida; Malpighiales; Euphorbiaceae.